This 1413-nucleotide unclassified non-coding RNA is filed under the name Hevea brasiliensis (rubber tree). Lineage: Eukaryota; Viridiplantae; Streptophyta; Magnoliopsida; Malpighiales; Euphorbiaceae. The record is from RNAcentral.
CGCCCUGGCUCCUUUUUUCAUGGCAAUGGUUUGCUCCCUAACUGAAUUGCCUGCCUCCGAGUCCAUCAAUUCACUGACUCGCUUCUCCACCUCUAUUGCAGUUACAAACCCGUUCUCUGAUUCCUUCAUUGGCAAAGCAAUUUUAAUUUCUUCCACCAGCAACACCCUAUUGAACCUUUGCUCUGCAUACAGCGGCCAUGCCACCAUUGGCACUCCUGCACACACCGCCUCAAGCACUGAGUUCCACCCACAGUGAGUCACAAACCCGCCCACCGAGUUGUGAUUCAAUAUUGCUACCUGUGGAGCCCAUGACUUCACCACAAAUCCUCUCUCCCUGGUACGAUCCAAGAAACCAUCAGGGAGCAAUGAUUCCAAAUCUGGAUCUGCCUGGGGUGAGAUGGCUAAGCUGUGGUUAUUAGAUGGCGGAUUACGCACCACCCACAAGAACCUCUGUCCACUUCUCUCCAACCCAAUAGCUAUUUCUCUUAAUUGUUCCUUUGAGAACAACCCCAAGCUACCAAAACACAAAAAAACAACACUUCGACUUGGUUGAGAAUCAAGCCAGGUUAAACACUCUGGCACACCAUCAUUUCUAUUCUUGGUCACUAUUAAGGGUCCGAUACAGUAAACAAAUGGUGUGGUACUAUUGGGCACACAUGAUCCAUCCGAUAUUGCCUUUACAGCUCUGGCCUCAAGCAAUUCAAAGGUGUUUACGAUAAUUCCCGCAGAUUUGGGAAGGCAGUUAGUGAACUCUAAAAGGUAUUCAUAGGCCUUAUCGUAGCGAUCAAGCAUUGGCUUUGGCAUGUCAGUGGACAGUACUGGUGGAGCACCCGGAGCAUGGAGAAAAGUGUCAAGAUCUUUGAAACUUUUGGUAUUGUUGUCAUGAAUGGUCGGAAGAUAAAGGAAAAGAGCAAGACACGCAGCACCGGAAGUAAAGAAGAAAUAAACAGGGAUGUUGAGUUCAGAGGCAACAGAAAGAGAAGCAGCACAGAAGAAAUCCAUAAUUACGGCGUUAAUGGAGUGGCUUUUGGAGAUGGACAGAAGGGCUUGGCGGACAUGAGGCUUGCUGAGCCGGAGGACCUCAAAGGUGAGCGUUUCAUGAUGAGUGAUUGUCGUGGGAGGGAGAGUGAUGGUGGGAAGAUGGUGGAAGUAGAUUGAAGGAAUGGUGGCAGCCACUUCAGCAAUAUAAGGGGCAGUGGAGCCUGCACUGUAAGGUGCAGCGGUAAUGAAGAUCUGAAUGGAAAGGGAAGGUCGGUCGGAGAGUAUAAGCUUGCCUAACUCUACCAUAGAUAUCAAGUGGCCUAUAGCCGGUGAUGGGUAGAGAACUACAACCUCAUCCAUGGCUAUCGGUUGUGUUUCCUCAAGUCUCUGCGAGAAUGUGGGAGGGGCAGAGAGAGAGAGAGAGAGAGAGAG